This 512-nucleotide ribosomal RNA is filed under the name uncultured bacterium. RNAcentral's name for it is "partial 16S ribosomal RNA". It matches the Rfam family "Bacterial small subunit ribosomal RNA", at positions 28 to 507 of the family's 1533-position model. The record is from RNAcentral.
GAUGAACGCUGGCGGCGUGCCUAAUACAUGCAAGUCGAACGAAACUUCUUUAUCGCCGAGUGCUUGCACUCACCGAUAAAGAGUUGAGUGGCGAACGGGUGAGUAACACGUGGGCAACCUGCCCAAAAGAGGGGGAUAACACUUGGAAACAGGUGCUAAUACCGCAUAACCAUAGUUACCGCAUGGUAACUAUGUAAAAGGUGGCUAUACUACCGCUUUUGGAUGGGCCCGCGGCGCAUUAGCUAGUUGGUAGGGUAAAGGCUUACCAAGGCAAUGAUGCGUAGCCGAAUUGAGAGGUUGAUCGGCCACAUUGGGACUGAGACACGGCCCAAACUCCUACGGGAGGCAGCAGUAGGGAAUCUUCCACAAUGGGCGAAAGCCUGAUGGAGCAACGCCGCGUGGGUGAAGAAGGUCUUCGGAUCGUAAAACCCUGUUGUUAGAGAAGAAAGUGCGUGAGAGUAACUGUUCACGUUUCGACGGUAUCUAACCAGAAAGCCACGGCUAACUACGUG